Molecule: ribosomal RNA, 255 nt
Filed under: uncultured soil bacterium
Lineage: Bacteria
Description: partial 16S ribosomal RNA
Rfam family: Bacterial small subunit ribosomal RNA
Source: RNAcentral
AGGACGAACGCUGGCGGCGUGCUUAACACAUGCAAGUCGAGCGGUAAGGCCUUUCGGGGUACACGAGCGGCGAACGGGUGAGUAACACGUGGGUGAUCUGCCCUGCACUUCGGGAUAAGCCUGGGAAACUGGGUCUAAUACCGGAUAUGACCUCCUAUCGCAUGGUGGGUGGUGGAAAGAUUUAUCGGUGCAGGAUGGGCCCGCGGCCUAGUCAGCUUGUUGGUGGGGUAAUGGCCUACAAGGCGACGACGGGUA